GGGUGUUUAUUAAAAAUGCAGGUGAUUCUGAUUCAGUAUUUCCAGGGUGGGUCUGGGAGCUGCCUUCUUAACAGGCUUCCAGGUGGUUCUGAUGCAGGUGGCUUCAGAAUCACUCCUUUGGAGAUGCUACUGUAAUGGCUGGAUGGAUAAUGGACUAGAGAGGGAAGAGCUCAGAGGCUGCAAGACCUGUUGGUAGGCUGACGCAGCAGCACACGCGGUCGAAGGUAAACGCAUCUGUUGAUGAUUAACAGCAGUGUUUCAAAGCUCCCGGGAGAGAGGAUGGAUAUGAUGGAGUCAGACACCUCUAGUUUUAAUUCUAUCGCUUAUACCUGUCACUUUGGAUGGUGAACACUGAUUAAGAAGAGAGAGCACAUAUCAUGCAGAGACCAUGGGCCCUGGACCAGAAACAUUGAGGAUAGAGAGAGGCAAAGCCAGCAUCCCGGAGCUGGCUCCUUUCCCCAGGGUUUUGGAGCGGUGCAGUCUUCCCUAGAAAUUAAUUGAUAAAGACUGAGUUCCUCACUUGAUAUUUUGAAAGAGAGCUGCUGCUAGCUUAUAUACCGUGAAUUGCCAAAUGUCACUGCCUCUGAGUGGACAGAUUAUAUAAAAGACACUUCCUCCUGGUAUGGCUAGCAGAGGAUGCACUGGAUUUCAGCUCCUAGUCCUCCCUUGACUCCACCAAGCUGGGUAUUUCUUUGCAGUAUACAAUCUGCACAACUGUACGUGGUUUGACAACAUGCAUAAGCAUAAGGCUAACAACUUGUGAAACAAACUCUGAAGCCAGGAGUGAAUAUAUUAAUGCAGAUGGCAGAGAAGGUGAGCAGCGUGGUCAGACAGAAGCAUCACAGAGACUGCAAGAAGAAUGCUUUAGACCAGCUCAUAGUAGAGACUUUACCUCUUGGCUGUACUGAUUAAGGGUUAUCACCAGUUUCUUAGGACUUGGAAACUUGGAAACACAUUGCUUGUCCUUUCCAGUUUGUUACAGAGUGUGUGUGUGUGGUCCUCAUUAUAAGGUGUAGCUUCAGUCAUUCUCAUUCAAUCCUGAAGCUGUGGAUUCCUGUGUGGCUGUUCUGUUGAAGAUUCUGGAGCCCAGAACAUUCAAAACCAGCUUUCCUUAGAGUGAAAGGAUGUUUGCACAAACAUUGAAGCAUGGAAGGGAGUUUGGGGGUAAGGGAGGGGUGGGGAAUUCCAGGAAGAGGAAAUCGGUUAGACAAGGGUGUGGAGGCACACCAAAUUGUGGAUUCCUUUAGGAAGUGGUUUUUUUUUUCUGUGAGGAAGAUUGUCCCAGAGCGAACAUCUGUGCUGAUCUUCCUCUAUUUUGUAUAUGGGAUGCUGCCACAGCAUGGCUUGAUGAGCGGUGUGCAGGUCCGAGCCUGGGAUCCAAACCCACAAACCCUGAGCUGCCGAAACAGAGUGUGCAAAGUUAACCACCACACCACUGGGCCGGCCCCAGAGAGAAUUUUUCCACUUCAUUAAAUCUGAGUGUCCCUUCAGAUGCCGAGGUGAUUAUAGCACAGUCUCUGUUCUGGAGAAGCUAGAACCAUUUCAUAUCUACCCUAUUUGAUCCUCAACAAAUUCCGUAAGUUAGGUAGGAAAG
Long non-coding RNA from Equus caballus (horse), 1594 nucleotides. The record is from Ensembl. Lineage: Eukaryota; Metazoa; Chordata; Mammalia; Perissodactyla; Equidae.